This is a long non-coding RNA of Magnolia sinica, 2078 nucleotides long. RefSeq lists it as uncharacterized. The transcript is spliced from 2 exons. The record is from RefSeq and is a predicted model, not a curated record. Lineage: Eukaryota; Viridiplantae; Streptophyta; Magnoliopsida; Magnoliales; Magnoliaceae.
CUAGGACCAGGUACCUGUUUCCGUUACAAGGAUCAGCUACCAAACCGAUACACAAAGAACCGGUCGAACCUGCCGAUUUUUACGACACCGAGUCGAAAUGACGUAGCUUAAACUACGCAUGGUUCAGAGAACUGCUAAGACAUCUCACUUCUCCAGCUAGCAAGUUGUAAACUCAAAUGACCAUAAAGCCCCUUUAAGAUUGAAUACAAUCAUACUUUCUAUGCAAAUCUGCAAGGGCAUUCUGGGAAUCUCUAAUGAAGAAAAAAAAAGGCAAUUCCUCUGUUUAGUGGUGCACCUCCUAUUUCUUGGCAACCUUGAUUAGUGCACUUUGAUCUGGACCGUCCAAUCAGUGGAGCACCUCUUACAUGAACCACGGGCACAAGUUUUCCAUUGGCUGUUUUUCUACGGCUACGAAAAGUUCAGAGCAAUGGACAAUGAAAAAUAAGCCCAAAGCGAUUACAAACAGCCCCAUCACUCAAAUUCUUGAUAGUGGUCCCGUCCAUGAGGUGGUCCAUCAACUGGAUGGUCCAGAUUGGUCUAAUUGCUCGGACCCAACAAUAGUGUCAUCGAGACCGUUCAUGGUUCACUGAUCCAGACCGUUCAUCUUAAGGGACCCAAGGCAGAAGUUAAAUGAUCCAAAAAUCAUCGAGAAGGGAACAAACAUCCUAGAUCAAAUCUGUCCCUUUAUCAAAGGGUCAGGAAGUUCUAAUCCCAACGGAAGUAGGUCCCUAUGAUCAACGGUCUGGAUCAACAAAACUUCAUAAAGGGUCCUGAAGAAGCAGCAGCCCAUGUGAGAAUUUGAAAAGUUACCUCCAUUGCCCCUCUUUCUCGCAGUUUUUGCAUAGACCAGCUAAAACCUUCUUCUUCAGAUCCGAGACAGAGAAGCAUUUGAAGGAAGCGUCCCCAUCAGACGGUGGCACCGACGACGACAUGUUGUCGGAGGAGAGGAGCUUGACUCGAUCUUUCGAAAGCUGCUGUGAUGAAUUCUCAGAGGAGAGAGAUGACGACGACCACGAUUCCUCCAUUGUGAUCUUGUAGCUGGGAAUGUGUUCUUGGAGCAUGUUGGCAACGUCCUUGAAUCGACGGAGAUAGAGAAGCGAUCGCGCUUUCAGCUCGAGGGCCACCUCGAGGCGGGGAGAGAGUGCGAGGGCCGCAUCGAGGAGGUUUACGGCAGCGGUGAUUUCCGAAUGCUCGUGGGUUGCGAUGAGUACACGGGCAUCUUUCACGUAUUUCUCUACUACCUGUGGCAGGAAAUUCAGGUAAGGUGAGAUGGAAAUUUGAAGAAAUAUUGGGAUUUUUUUCAUUUGGGUUUUUCAUGGAAUUGCAGGAAAAUGAGAAGAAUCGUGUUUUGGGUAAUUUGGAAGGAAAUGCAUGUCAGGGAGAUGGAGAUUUGCAGGGAAUUGGGAUUUUUUUUUCUUUCAUUUGGGGGGUUUUUUCUGAAAUUGCAGGAGAAUGAGAAGAAUCCUGUUUUUGGCAAUGUGGGUCCUCUGGAUUGAUACAAAAGGGCAGAAAUAACGGAUAUUGCAUUGGAUUUUGGGUAUCUGUUAGAGAUUUCGAAGCCGUGGAUGAUGCGAGGACGAUUGAGAGAAGAUCCUGAAAAGAUGCAGUUUUUACGGUUGAAAAAAUCAGCAAAAUCUAAUAGAAGAUUUAGGAGAAAAAGACAGUGCAGGGAGUGAAAAUAUUAUAAAAAAGGACAAAAGGAGAGGUCUCGCAUUGAAGUUGCAGAGAAAAACAGGCAAAAAACAACAAAUCCAAUCCUCAUUACACCAAACAGAUGAAAGGAACAAAACCAACAAAAAACCAGAAACCAAAAGAAUAAAACCUAUCCUAAAAAAGAAAAAGAAAACAUCUCAAACAACAAAAGAAAAAAAAAACUUCUACAUUUUCAAAAAGACCCAACAAAGAAAUCUUCAAGAAAAGGGGAAAAACCCAUAUAUUUUCCAGCAGCAAUCUUCAAGAAAAGAUAUGAAAAAUCACAAACCAAAACCCUUUAAAACACGUAGAAAAACCCAACUUGCUUCUUAAAAAGAAAAAGAAAAAAAGAAUACAUUUUCCACCAUAUCUCUCACAAAAACCAC